AUGAGCGCGGAGACCGACGAGACGGCGGCCGGCGGGCUCGCGGGGGAGAUGGAGGUCGAGGCGUACCGCCGCCUCUUCCCCCUCGCGUUCCUCGAGCGUCACCUCCGCGAGUCCGUCCGGCCUGAUGCCCGCCGCCUCGCCGAAGCCCGCCCCACCACCGUCGCGCUCGGCGCCGUCUCCUCCGCGCACGGCUCUGCCCUCGUCCGCCUCGGUGACACCGCCAUGCUCGCGUCGAUCAAGCUCGAGGUGAUGUCGCCCCCUGCCGAGACCCCGGACCAAGGAUCAGUCGCUGUGGAGUUUCACAUGCCGCCUAUCUGCUCCCCGCUUGUAAGACCAGGACGGCCAGCAGAGGCUGCGCCGGUCAUCUCCAAGGCCCUGGAGGAUGUCCUCAUGAGCUCUGGGAUGUUAAAUUUGAAGGAGCUCUGUUUGAUCAGUGGGAAGGCUUCGUGGGUAGCAUAUCUGGAUGUCUAUUGUUUGAAUGCUGAUGGAUCUCUGUUUGAUGCUGCACUGAUCUCAGUGGUGGCUGCAUUUACACAUUUGGAAAUUCCCCUAGUAUCUGUUGGUGAUGAUGGUAGAGUGUUUACUGUUGGAGGCAAUGAAGGCAAAACCAAAUAUGAAUUGGUAAACAGAGAAAAGAGGAAGCUUACUCUUGGUGACAUUCCAUUUCCUCUCACAUGUGCACUUCACAAGGAUAGUAUUCUAGCGGACCCAACUGCUGAAGAGGAAUCAAUAAUAGAGACCUCUGUGACAGUUGUUCUAGAUUCUUCCGGACGCUUAGUGUCAAUACAGAAACCUGGAGGUGGAGUGACGUCCAUGGCAACAAUUAAGGCGUGCAUUGGCUUGGCAAAAGAAAGAGGACAAAAGUUGAAGGAAAUACUCACGGACUCCGUUGAAGCAAUGGAAGUCGACCAAGCUGAAUAA
This 921-nucleotide ribosomal RNA is filed under the name Triticum aestivum (bread wheat). RNAcentral's name for it is "partial small subunit ribosomal RNA". The record is from RNAcentral. Lineage: Eukaryota; Viridiplantae; Streptophyta; Magnoliopsida; Poales; Poaceae.